Molecule: ribosomal RNA, 465 nt
Filed under: Vreelandella stevensii
Lineage: Bacteria; Pseudomonadati; Pseudomonadota; Gammaproteobacteria; Oceanospirillales; Halomonadaceae
Description: partial 16S ribosomal RNA
Rfam family: Bacterial small subunit ribosomal RNA
Source: RNAcentral
CCUACGGGGGGCAGCAGUGGGGAAUAUUGGACAAUGGGGGGAACCCUGAUCCAGCCAUGCCGCGUGUGUGAAGAAGGCCCUCGGGUUGUAAAGCACUUUCAGUGAGGAAGAACGCCUGGUGGUUAAUACCCAUCAGGAAAGACAUCACUCACAGAAGAAGCACCGGCUAACUCCGUGCCAGCAGCCGCGGUAAUACGGAGGGUGCGAGCGUUAAUCGGAAUUACUGGGCGUAAAGCGCGCGUAGGUGGCUUGAUAAGCCGGUUGUGAAAGCCCCGGGCUCAACCUGGGAACGGCAUCCGGAACUGUCAAGCUAGAGUGCAGGAGAGGAAGGUAGAAUUCCCGGUGUAGCGGUGAAAUGCGUAGAGAUCGGGAGGAAUACCGGUGGCGAAGGCGGCCUUCUGGACUGAAACUGACACUGAGGUGCGAAAGCGUGGGUAGCAAACAGGAUUAGAUACCCUGGUAGUC